This 255-nucleotide ribosomal RNA is filed under the name uncultured bacterium. Its description in RNAcentral is "partial 16S ribosomal RNA". It matches the Rfam family "Bacterial small subunit ribosomal RNA", at positions 524 to 776 of the family's 1533-position model. The record is from RNAcentral.
UACGGAGGGUGCAAGCAUUAAUCGGAUUUACUGGGCGUAAAGGGCGCGUAGGCGGGCAAGCAAGUCUUAUGUGAAAUUCCGGAGCUCAACUCCGGAGCUGCAUGGGAAACUGCUUGUCUAUAGAGGGAUGGCGGAGAAAAUGGAAUUCCACGUGUAGCGGUGAAAUGCGUAGAUAUGUGGAAGAACACCAGUGGCGAAAGCGGUUUUCUAGCUAUUUCCUGACGCUGAGGCGCGAGAGCAUGGGGAGCAAACAGG